CUAACACAUGCAAGUCGAGCGAGGUAGCAAUACCUAGCGGCAGACGGGUGCGUAACAUGUGGGAAUCUGCCUUUUGGUUCGGAACAACACGGGGAAACCUGUGCUAAUACCGGAUAAGUCCUAACGGAGAAAGUUUUAUGCACCAUUGGAUGAGCCCGCACUUGAUUAGUUAGUUGGUAGGGUAAUGGCCUACCAAGACUGUGAUCAAUAGCUGAUUUGAGAGGAUGAUCAGCCACAUUGGGACUGAGAUACGGCCCAGACUCC
RNAcentral lists this ribosomal RNA (264 nucleotides) under uncultured bacterium. RNAcentral describes it as "partial 16S ribosomal RNA". It matches the Rfam family "Bacterial small subunit ribosomal RNA", at positions 48 to 339 of the family's 1533-position model. The record is from RNAcentral.